UGCCUACGGGGGGCAGCAGUGGGGGAUAUUGGACAAUGGGGGAAACCCUGAUCCAGCGACGCCGCGUGAGUGAAGAAGUAUUUCGGUAUGUAAAGCUCUGUCAGCAGGGAAGAAAGAAAUGACGGUACCUGACCAAGAAGCCCCGGCUAACUACGUGCCAGCAGCCGCGGUAAUACGUAGGGGGCAAGCGUUAUCCGGAUUUACUGGGUGUAAAGGGGGCGCAGACGGCAGCGCAAGCCAGGAGUGAAAGCCCGGGGCCCAACCCCGGGACUGCUCUUGGAACUGCGCGGCUGGAGUGCAGGAGG
Molecule: ribosomal RNA, 305 nt
Filed under: uncultured bacterium
Lineage: Bacteria
Description: bacterial SSU rRNA
Rfam family: Bacterial small subunit ribosomal RNA
Source: RNAcentral